CUCUCGGCUGUUUUUUGGGUGUGUGUCGGGCUGUGAGUUGAAAAGCUACAGCCGGCUGUGUGGGUAAACCAACCAUGUGUGAAAAGUGGUCCAUAAUGUAAUGCUUCAGAGCGUCUUCGUGCAAACAUUGUCGUGUCUGCCGUGGUACAGUGGGACUUCUGCUCAUGAACCUGUGUGCACAGCGUCUGCAAAUCGGCGCUGUACUAAGUAACUUCAUCUUUACACAAAAAUGUAAGCUGUCAUCUGUGAAGCGUGAGCGGUGUUUGUUUUUACCAUAGUUCAUGGUAGAGAAUGGCUGCUCUUCUGAGUUUUGCCCUAAGCAGCCGUAUGAAUGGCAAACUACACUGAUUACCAGCGGCAUAGGCACACUUAAAAUUUCUUCUGAAAUUUUCGCUUUCUAGUUGUGUGGAUGCCUGAAAGGGCAUCCACACUAUUGAGUUCCUGUUUCUCUUUAUUCUUUAUUCCACUAUUUUCUAGUUGCUUCCGUACACUUUUUGGCACUUAACUACUCAUUCAGUUUUCAACCGAUUUUCUCCGUUCAAACUCUAAACUGUUCUGCUAUUUCUGCUAAUGCCGGCAAUGACUUUUGGUGUUUAUUACUAUUAUACUUUUUAAAAUAUUACACUUUUUUCCUUUAAUUUGUCCCAUUGAAAUGAAUGGGAAACUUCCACAAUUCUGCUAAAAUUUGAUUGUUUUUGAAACUUAACUACAUUCUCAUACUUUCACCUAGAAACUCCAUUCAAACUUUAAAAUGUUCUCAGAUUAUUGGGCUAUUCCUGUCUGAUUCAGUUUUUUCAGAUCUUCUACCGUUUUAAUCUUAUCUCUCUUUAAGUUUUCAGUUGCACAACUUCUUGCUACUUGAUUAAUUUUCACUCAACUCCCACAAAUUAUACAUCAAAACGUAGGUAUUUUUGCUGGCUUUCAGAAAAUGUCACCAUCAUUGUUGUGAGAUUUAUAGAAUUUUCGCAAAUAUCCUCAGACCAACACAAAGUCGGAAAACUCUCCAUAGAAAGUCAAUGGAGAGUUUGUUCAAAAUCAUCGCUUGAUUUCUGUAAUGAGAGGCAUAUUCGAAUCGUCAUAUCUCCUUAACGAAGCGAAGUUAAAACAUGAGGCUUCUCCCCGUAUAUCUUCAGACACUCCUGACGCUCACAAUUCAAGAAUUUCUUUCUCACCUAUUACCGUUCUGAAAUGAGUUAGACUUGUUUGAGGGUAGGAAAUUCGUCCUUCGCUCAGAUUUCUUCAGCUUUCAAACUCUGGAAAUGAACCACUAUUUUCUCUCGUCAUAUCUUUUUGAUGGAUUUCCACAGAGACCUGAAAAUUUCCAUGACUGUUCACCAAAGCCUGCUGUCUCUUACGGUGAAAGAAUGAUAUCGAUACUCCAAAUAGAUUUAGAGUUAGAAAGCGUUGUUUGAGGGCAAGUCAAGGCAGUUUUCGCUUGCCUCUACUCAGUUAUGGUGCAUUACAAGUCAAAUAUCUUUAAUAAUUCAUAUUUUAAUGAUAAAUUGUCAACACUUGAAGAUUCCCCCAUCUCUUCUGAACAAAACGGUGUAAGAAUGACCCCUGCUGUCUCUUACGGUGAAAGAAUGAUAUUGAUACUCCAAAUAGAUUUAGAGUUAGAAAGCGUUGUUUGAGGGGAGGUCAAGGCAGUUUUUGCUUCGCCUUUACUCAGUUAUGGUGCAUUACAAGUCAAAUAUCUUUAAAUAUCUUUAAUAGUGUUGAUAAAUUGUCAACACUGGAAGAUUCCCCCAUCUCUUCUGAACAAAACGGUGUAAGAAUGACCGUUCUAGCCCCUACGGUUAGGAAAUUAUGGCCAUUUGUUUGAGAGGAAUCCUCACUAUGAGAAAUACACUGCAGAAUUCCUGUCUCUCUCUGUGCUGUGUGUACAAAGCCUGCACCUGUUUUGGCGGGAAAAA
This is a long non-coding RNA of Oreochromis aureus, 1913 nucleotides long. The record is from Ensembl. NCBI's taxonomy places the organism in Eukaryota, Metazoa, Chordata, Actinopteri, Cichliformes, Cichlidae.